GGAGGUACAGCUCAGCGGUAGAGUGCAUGCUUAGCAUACAUGAGGUCCUGGGUUCAAUCCCCAGUAUUUCCA
Molecule: transfer RNA, 72 nt
Filed under: Camelus bactrianus (Bactrian camel)
Lineage: Eukaryota; Metazoa; Chordata; Mammalia; Artiodactyla; Camelidae
Also listed under: 2 other names
Rfam family: tRNA
About the family: Transfer RNA (tRNA) molecules are approximately 80 nucleotides in length. Their secondary structure includes four short double-helical elements and three loops (D, anti-codon, and T loops).
Source: Rfam by way of RNAcentral